UCUCCGUAGGUGAACCUGCGGAGGGAUCAUUACAGAGUUCAUGCCCUACCGGGUAGAUCUCCCACCCUAUGUUAUUAUUCUUUGUUGCUUUGGCGGGCCGUUAGGCUCCGGCCCGACUACCGGCCCCGGCUGGUAAGCGCCCGCCAGAGGACCCAAAACCCUGAAUAUUAGUGUCGUCUGAGUACUAUAUAAUAGUUAAAACUUUCAACAACGGAUCUCUUGGUUCUG
This 228-nucleotide unclassified non-coding RNA is filed under the name plant metagenome. RNAcentral describes it as "partial contains small subunit ribosomal RNA, internal transcribed spacer 1, and 5.8S ribosomal RNA". The record is from RNAcentral.